This 72-nucleotide transfer RNA is filed under the name Ipomoea nil (Japanese morning glory). It matches the Rfam family "tRNA". Rfam says of the family: Transfer RNA (tRNA) molecules are approximately 80 nucleotides in length. Their secondary structure includes four short double-helical elements and three loops (D, anti-codon, and T loops). The record is from Rfam by way of RNAcentral. Lineage: Eukaryota; Viridiplantae; Streptophyta; Magnoliopsida; Solanales; Convolvulaceae.
GCGGAUGUAGCCAAGUGGAUUAAGGUGGUGGAUUGUGAAUCCAUUAUGCGGGUUCAAUUCCCGUCCUUCGCC